This 29-nucleotide non-coding RNA is filed under the name Mus musculus (house mouse). The record is from RNAcentral. Lineage: Eukaryota; Metazoa; Chordata; Mammalia; Rodentia; Muridae.
UGAACCUGUCUAACGUAACUAGUAUCGGC